CGUGUGGAAAGAGUCCAAACAAUUCAGCAUUUUCUUCUGUGCACAUUUCACCACAACUGGAGGAGUUUUUGUUUAAUAUACAUUCUGGGUAUACUUUAGUUCAAAAGGGAUCAAAAUUGCCAUCUAACAGGUAUCUUAAAGGAUUCCUGGUAACUACUUCCACAAAUAAGUAUUCAUUCCACAGUGUGAGCUGUUGGCUUUGAAUUCUCUGAGAACAAGGAAUGUUGGUCAGAGUUCACUUCCUAAAUACAUAGACAUAGAACUAACAGGUUGAAAUAGAAUAUAAUCUCAGUGAGUUACUUUGUUGAAGAAUAUUUGAUUGAAUAUUUAGUUACAGUAAGAUUUUAUAAAAUAGAGAUCCCUUCUACUUGCAACUUGUAAAGUUUCUGCAGAAUUAAAUGCUAUUUUAUUUAUAGAUUAGGAAACUCUCACCAGUGUCUGAGUCCAGGAUCACAGUAUGGGAAUGACAGGUGUGACCUUGAAUGCAGCUUCGGUUGACUGACAUUAAAGCCAAUGUUGUUAAAAACUAAAGCUUAGCAACAACGUUUUACUAUUUUUAUAGGAUACUGUAAGAAAUAAUUUGACUUUUAAGAAAUCUUAAAUAUAAAUUUCCUCUGCAUUAAUGUAGUACCUCAUAGUUAAAACCUACUUUCUUCAUACACAGCCUUUUCCUUUCUUACAAUAAAACAUGUUUAGCUUUCUAUGCUUUUUUUAAUCAUGAUAAAAAUGAAGCCAUAGUAACUAUCAAGGUCAUAGAAGUAUAGACGUAGAUGCCCAAUUUUUAAACUACUUUCACCUUAUAAGUUGUUCAAACUUCAUUAUUAGAGAAUUCUAAAAUGAGAAAAAUUAGAUUCUUAAAAAACCUAAGAAUGUUCAAGGUGGAAGUGUCCGUCUAUAACAUACAAUUUCACAACUUAAGAGUAGAAGCAAGAAAGGUAAAUACUUUUAGGAGGUUCCAAACUAGUCUUGAGUUAUCCCAACAAGAGCGGAGGGGGAGGAAUGAUUGUGAACAGAAAGUCUGACUGGACUUUCUCUGCAGUGAAGAGAAUUUAGAGUCUCUGCUCAAGACGCCCCCUGGCCAAGAGACGUUAAAACAGACAGAAAAGACUUUGCAUGUUUCCCUUCUACCGUGUGGCCUACUGAAACUUGGGUCUUGUUUAAAAGGCAUCUGAUUUUAUGCAGACACAUGUCGGAAAAGUUAGACUCUCUUGUUCAGACUUCCAUAUGGUAAUGUCUUGUAAUGUAAGGACAUAGUAUCCACUGACCCAGAGAGUUAGACAUCGCAGACUGCACAAUGGGAAACCGCGUUUCUGUACCAGUGAAACAGUCUGAUCAGACUACAGUGGGAGGAAAAUUCCCUAAUUCACAAACUUCCCUGAUUUUUUUUACCCUCUGUAAGAACAUAAAUACACAGCUAAAGAAAAACUGCAUGUGCAAAUAAUACCAUAUUCAUUUUUUAUUUAACAUGGGGAUGGAAUGGGGAUAGCAUACAUUUUAUUUGUACAAUAUUUAACAAUCACUUAUUCAAGGUGGGAUUUUAUGGGGAUUUUUUUCAUUUUUAGCUUUCUGUUAAAUACUUGCAGAAAAAAAAAUAGCAAGUACAAUAUGACAGUAGUACAACAACCUGUGCCCAAAACACUGACAAGAAAUACAGAGUAAAGCUAAAAUAAUUGUUUCCCAAUAUUUUGAGAGGUAACAAAUAGGGAGAUACGGGUUGAGACUGCAUAAAAAACGUACUGCUGGUUGAAUAUCUGAGGUAAAUGAUGUUUAAUCAAGAUGCUACUUGUAUCUUUGUCCAUAAAUUGUAAAUAAUUUUAUGCACAUUAUACCAAAUCUUCCUAAAAAGUAAUUUUUCAAAAAAGUAAAAAAGAGAAACUGGAAAAUAUCUGAUGAAGCAUUUUUUUAAAAAACAGUAAUCAGUCUAUUCCACUAAACUACCAUCUAUCUGGUGAGGGUAUUUUUCCCAACCAUUUGAAUUUUACUUAAAUGUGACUUAAUUAUUAAGGAUAAGAAAAAGGGCCAGAAGCGAUGUUUUCAUAAUUUUGUGAUACAUGAUUCUGUUUUUAAGUCCAAACGUAUUUGUUUUUGUUUUUCCUGGUUGUAUUUUUAGAAUAUCACCAUGAAAGAUAGUGCAAGUUCAUGGGACCAAUAAUUGUGAGGCACAGUCUCUGUUCUGGAAUUCACAAGGUACCUGUAAUAAAACAUCCAAACAAGAGUCACAAAUCACAUGCUAAAACUCCUAGCAUCUAAAACACAUACAAGAUCUGUGCAGGGCAUAGAUAGACUUCAAAUAAAUUCAAACACUGGUUACUCCGUCAGUCCUGUGGCAGUUGAUCAUAAAGCAUUCUCACACGGGAGAUCUGGGCAAGGUAGAGUAAGAGCAGCAGUUCUGGUGGGUGUCAGAAAGGCAAAGUACAAGACAUCAUGAGCACCAUACACAUGAAGGUAUACAGGGGUCCAAGUUUGCCAUCUCCCUAGAAAUGAAUCGUUUUCACUCUUUGAUCUUUCUUUUUCAUUGUCCCUAACUCAAACUUUCUAUCUGCCCACUCUGCACUUACUGUAAACCAAACACGAAAAUGCCCUGCAAAAGAAAGUCACAAGACUAGGCAUAAGGACAGGUAGUCACUGGAACAUUCUUAACGUUACUGCUUAUAAAAAAGGCUUUCUUGUUAAUGUAGUUCUUAAGAGAAUACAAGUUUUAAAAUUGAUAAGCUAGAUUUACAUACAAUACCCAAGAUUUCUAAAACAUAAAUUCCCUAGCGUGAAGACAAAGCAUUUUAUAUCAUGAACCAGUCUUGGUAAAAUUUAUCUGUAGUGCUUUCCUAAGCCGAACAGUCAUAAUAUCCCUCAUGUAUCAGCUCUUAAAGGGAGUUGAAUGUUUACAACCAGUAGCAGUUUGCUUAUGGAUGAAAAGUUUCCUUGUAUGCAUAUUUUCUUAUGGUUUUCCUUGAUUACAAGUGGAAGCAAACCUGAAUCAAAAAUUUGAGGGGCCAAAUAUGUAGGAAUAUGUCAAAAACAGUGAACACUGAACUUGGCAAUCUUAGGAAUACAGUGACACCUUGGGUACAUAGACAACGUACAAUUCUCUAUGGUAUGUGGCAUACAGACAAGAAUGCUAUUAUCCUCCCCACUUAAAGUCUGUUGACCUAUGUAUUGUUUAUGAUUAUUCUUCCCAGAGAUUAGUGCACAUUAUAUGUAAAAGGUAGUGUCUGAUGUCUUAACCAUCUGAAGAUAAUGCAUUCACAGUGAGCUCCUGAUAGUAACAUAACAAGUUUAUAAAAUUAAUGUAUGGAUGUUAAAGUGACUCAAUAAAAAUGUAUAUAACAUAAUACUGGCUAUUUGUUGGUAAUUGAAAAAUUCAGGGAAUUAAUCUUUUACUUGGGCCUGUGUAAGCUUGAGGAAAGAUCCCAUUAUAUUUUAAUGUAAUAUUUUGAAAAGCACUCUGGUACCU
RNAcentral lists this long non-coding RNA (3451 nucleotides) under Rattus norvegicus (Norway rat). RNAcentral describes it as "long non-coding RNA NONRATT019278". Lineage: Eukaryota; Metazoa; Chordata; Mammalia; Rodentia; Muridae. The record is from RNAcentral.